Molecule: unclassified non-coding RNA, 343 nt
Filed under: soil metagenome
Description: partial contains 5.8S ribosomal RNA, internal transcribed spacer 2, and large subunit ribosomal RNA
Rfam family: 5.8S ribosomal RNA (bases 1-120)
Source: RNAcentral
GAUGAAGAACGUAGCGAAAUGCGAUAAGUAAUGUGAAUUGCAGAAUUCAGUGAAUCAUCGAAUCUUUGAACGCACAUUGCGCCCGCUAGUAUUCUGGCGGGCAUGCCUGUCCGAGCGUCAUUUCAACCCUCAAGCCCCCGGGCUUGGUGUUGGGGAUCGGCGAGCCUCCGCGCCCGCCGUCCCCUAAAUCUAGUGGCGGUCUCGCUGUAGCUUCCUCUGCGUAGUAGCACACCUCGCACUGGGAAACAGCGAGGCCACGCCGUUAAACCCCCAACUUCUGAACGUUUGACCUCGGAUCAGGUAGGAAUACCCGCUGAACUUAAGCAUAUCAAUAAGCGGAGGA